RNAcentral lists this ribosomal RNA (253 nucleotides) under uncultured bacterium. RNAcentral's name for it is "partial 16S ribosomal RNA". It matches the Rfam family "Bacterial small subunit ribosomal RNA", at positions 524 to 776 of the family's 1533-position model. The record is from RNAcentral.
UACAGAGGGUGCGAGCGUUAAUCGGAAUUACUGGGCGUAAAGCGCGCGUAGGCGGCUUUGCAAGCCGGAUGUGAAAUCCCCGGGCUUAACCUGGGAACUGCAUUCGGGACUGCAUUGCUAGAGUAUGGGAGAGGGAAGUGGAAUUUCAGGUGUAGCGGUGAAAUGCGUAGAUAUCUGAAGGAACAUCAGUGGCGAAAGCGACUUCCUGGACCAAUACUGACGCUCAGGUGCGAAAGCGUGGGGAGCAAACAGG